AGAGUUUGAUUAUGGCUCAGGACGAACGCUGGGCGGCGUGCCUAACACAUGCAAGUCGAGCGGGGACAUGCGACGGAACCGGAAGUUUUCGGAUGGAAGGCGAAGAUGUAUGUUCUAGCGGCGGACGGGUGAGUAACGCGUGAGCAACCUGUCCUUCACGAGGGGGAUAACACAGCGAAAGUUGUACUAAUACCGCAUAAGACCACACCGGGACAUCCCGGGAGGGGUCAAAAGGAGCAAUCCGGUGAAGGGUGGGCUCGCGUCCGAUUAGAUAGUUGGUGAGGUAACCGGCCCACCAAGUCGACGAUCGGUAGCCGACCUGAGGAGGGUGAUCGGCCACAGUUGGGACUGAGACACCGGACCCAAACUCCGUACGGGAGGCAGCAGGUGGGGAAUAGUUGGGCAAUGGGGGAAAAACCCCCUGACCCAGCAACGCCGCGUGAGGGAAGAAGGUUUUCGGAUCGUAAACCUCUGUCCUUGGUGAAGAGAUAGAGACGGUAGCCAAGGAGGAAGCCCCGGCUAACUACGUGCCAGCCGCUGC
This 541-nucleotide ribosomal RNA is filed under the name uncultured bacterium. Its description in RNAcentral is "bacterial SSU rRNA". It matches the Rfam family "Bacterial small subunit ribosomal RNA", at positions 8 to 518 of the family's 1533-position model. The record is from RNAcentral.